RNAcentral lists this ribosomal RNA (253 nucleotides) under uncultured bacterium. RNAcentral's name for it is "partial 16S ribosomal RNA". It matches the Rfam family "Bacterial small subunit ribosomal RNA", at positions 524 to 776 of the family's 1533-position model. The record is from RNAcentral.
UACGUAGGCAGCAAGCGUUGUUCGGAGUUACUGGGCGUAAAGGGUGUGUAGGCGGUUUUCUAAGUUUGGUGUGAAAUCUCCCGGCUCAACUGGGAGGGUGCGCCGAAAACUGGGAGGCUAGAGUACUGGAUGGGAGAGUGGAAUUCCUGGUGUAGCGGUGAAAUGCGUAGAUAUCAGGAGGAACACCUGUGGUGUAGACGGCUCUCUGGACAGUAACUGACGCUGAGACACGAAAGCGUGGGUAGCAAACAGG